Molecule: microRNA precursor, 208 nt
Filed under: Medicago truncatula (barrel medic)
Lineage: Eukaryota; Viridiplantae; Streptophyta; Magnoliopsida; Fabales; Fabaceae
Description: MIR2670 microRNA precursor family
Rfam family: MIR2670 microRNA precursor family
Source: Rfam by way of RNAcentral
UCGGGGUAAAAUAGUGAGUAGCCGACUUGGGGAAGUGAUCAACUCUUAGGAUAAGUUUAAAUCUGUUUUUUUUUACUCCAUAAACUUUUUACUGUGGGUAAAAAUAUUCUUGUUGGGGUAUAAAAAAAUAAAAUAAAAAAAAAGAUUUAAAUUUAGCCCAAGGAUUGGUGAUGUAUUUUCCCCAAGAAGGCUCACUAUUUUACCCUAA